Molecule: ribosomal RNA, 375 nt
Filed under: uncultured bacterium
Lineage: Bacteria
Description: bacterial SSU rRNA
Rfam family: Bacterial small subunit ribosomal RNA
Source: RNAcentral
ACGUAGGCACCAAGCGUUGUCCGGAUUUAUUGGGCGUAAAGAGCUCGUAGGCGGUUCGGUAAGUCAGGUGUGAAAACUUUGGGCUCAACCCAAAGCCUGCAUUUGAUACUGCUGUGACUAGAGUUCGGUAGGGGAGCGGGGAAUUCCUAGUGUAGCGGUGAAAUGCGCAGAUAUUAGGAGGAACACCGGUGGCGAAGGCGCCGCUCUGGGCCGAUACUGACGCUGAGGAGCGAAAGCGUGGGUAGCAAACAGGAUUAGAUACCCUGGUAGUCCACGCCGUAAACGUUGGGCACUAGGUGUGGGUUUCAACCAACGAAAUCCGCGCCGUCGCUAACGCAUUAAGUGCCCCGCCUGGGGAGUACGGCCGCAAGGUUA